AUCCUUUUGUGGAGGUAUUCCUAUCAUGUAGUGAUUAAACAUCCUCUCAUCAAGAUGAUGGAGGGUGCAAUCAGAUCAAGCUUCACUUCAGUAAUUUCAGCCCUUAACUCGUCGGUCAUAACACGUCCAAACUUGAGAAGGUCGCACCUAAAUUCCAGAUUACACUUUUCAAUGUGAAGUUACGUAACCUCCAACCCAGAGGAGAAUUAUCA
Molecule: long non-coding RNA, 212 nt
Organism: Rosa chinensis
Lineage: Eukaryota; Viridiplantae; Streptophyta; Magnoliopsida; Rosales; Rosaceae
Exons: 3
Source: RefSeq, a predicted model, not a curated record